Molecule: ribosomal RNA, 408 nt
Filed under: Triticum aestivum (bread wheat)
Lineage: Eukaryota; Viridiplantae; Streptophyta; Magnoliopsida; Poales; Poaceae
Description: partial small subunit ribosomal RNA
Source: RNAcentral
AUGUCUGUCGAUGCAGACAACUUCCCAUCCAUCGAUGCCAAUUGCAUAUACUAUGUGAAGUCGACAGAUUGGACACAUGACAUCUACAAGUACGACCUCGAGGGCGAGAAAGAAGAGAGGGUUUCUGAAGCCAGACAUUCCUUGAACCCCAGCACCUGCACGUUGCCUGCCACAAUUCCUCCCUUCACCAUCCUUAAGCUUCUCUCCAGCUACACCAACAACAUCGAGACAAGUCAGCUCAUGAGGUGCGCGAGGACUCAAAGUGUUACACGAUCCGGGGUUAAAUCUGAGUAUGCAUAUGAAGCGUCGGACCCAGGAAGUUGCUGGUGCCUGAACAUGAUAGAAGUGGUGGAUUUUCAAAACUAUCCGCGCCGUCCGCGCAACGGUGCGGAAGUAGCUCGCCCAUGA